CGGGAAGUAGCUCAGCUUGGUAGAGCACUUGGUUUGGGACCAAGGGAUCACAGGUUCGAAUCCUGUCUUCCCGA
RNAcentral lists this transfer RNA (74 nucleotides) under Staphylococcus aureus. Its description in RNAcentral is "tRNA-Pro". It matches the Rfam family "tRNA". Rfam says of the family: Transfer RNA (tRNA) molecules are approximately 80 nucleotides in length. Their secondary structure includes four short double-helical elements and three loops (D, anti-codon, and T loops). The record is from RNAcentral. Lineage: Bacteria; Bacillati; Bacillota; Bacilli; Caryophanales; Staphylococcaceae.